This 76-nucleotide transfer RNA is filed under the name Halothiobacillaceae bacterium. RNAcentral describes it as "tRNA-Val". It matches the Rfam family "tRNA". Rfam says of the family: Transfer RNA (tRNA) molecules are approximately 80 nucleotides in length. The record is from RNAcentral. Lineage: Bacteria; Pseudomonadati; Pseudomonadota; Gammaproteobacteria; Chromatiales; Halothiobacillaceae.
GGGUGGUUAGCUCAGUUGGUAGAGCGGCGCCCUUACAAGGCGUAGGUCGGGAGUUCGAGCCUCUCACCACCCACCA